RNAcentral lists this ribosomal RNA (944 nucleotides) under uncultured Clostridium sp. Its description in RNAcentral is "partial 16S ribosomal RNA". It matches the Rfam family "Bacterial small subunit ribosomal RNA", at positions 17 to 975 of the family's 1533-position model. Lineage: Bacteria; Bacillati; Bacillota; Clostridia; Eubacteriales; Clostridiaceae. The record is from RNAcentral.
UNCNGGCUAGGAUGACGCUGGCGGCGUGCCUAACACAUGCAAGUCGAGCGAUCUCUUCGGAGAGAGCGGCGGACGGGUGAGUAACGCGUGGGUAACCUGCCCUGUACACACGGAUAACAUACCGAAAGGUAUACUAAUACGGGAUAACAUACGAAAGUCGCAUGGCUUUUGUAUCAAAGCUCCGGCGGUACAGGAUGGACCCGCGUCUGAUUAGCUAGUUGGUAAGGUAAUGGCUUACCAAGGCAACGAUCAGUAGCCGACCUGAGAGGGUGAUCGGCCACACUGGAACUGAGACACGGUCCAGACUCCUACGGGAGGCAGCAGUGGGGAAUAUUGCACAAUGGGCGAAAGCCCUGAUGCAGCAACGCCCGCGUGAGCGAUGAAAGGCCUUCGGGUCGUAAAAGCUCUGUCCUUCAAGGAAAAUAAUGGACGGUACUUUGAAGGAGGAAGCCCCCGGCUAACUUCCUGGCCACAGCCCGCGGGAAAUACGUAAGGGGGUUAGCGGUUUUCCCGAAUUACUGGGCCUUAAGGGGGGCGUAAGGGGGUUUUUUAGGCAAAAAUGAAAAGCUACCGGUCCAACCGUAAUUAGCUUUUGAAACCUAAGAAAUUUAAUGGGNGAAAAGAAAAGAAAAAUUCCAGUGUAGCGGGGGAAUGCGUAGAAAUUUAGAGGAAUAACCNUNGCCAAAGGGGGUCUCUGGGCUGGUAACUUACACUUAGGCACCAAAACGUGGGGGAGCAAACAAGAUUAAUACCCUGGGAGUCCCCCCCCCAAACGAUGAGUACUAUGGGGUCGGGGGGGUUCCCCCCCCNGGGCCGCAGCUAAACAUUAAGUAUCCCCCCUGGGGAAGAUAGCUCUCCAGAGUGAAAUCCUAAGNAUGUUAGGGGCCCCCCCCCACGUAGCGGGAGCAUGUUGGUUUUUUUUUAGACACCCGAGAAACUCUCUC